Molecule: long non-coding RNA, 2237 nt
Organism: Mya arenaria
Lineage: Eukaryota; Metazoa; Mollusca; Bivalvia; Myida; Myidae
Exons: 5
Source: RefSeq, a predicted model, not a curated record
GGAUGAUGAACGUGAUUGAGUGAAAAAACAAUGGUCAAAUUCAUCUUUAAAGAAAAGUGCACCAAGGAUCCAGGCUGUACGAGGAUAUGAGCCAGGGUGCCACUGAUGCUAAUGGUGAUGAUGAGGAUGAUGGCCCUGUUACAGUCAAGACCAACACCCCCCAACAUUCCAGCUACCUGUUCAUUAUUCGAUGCUCGGCAGAGCAGAAUCCAAAAAGAUCAGGACACCUGGAUCUUUGUGAUUUUGGAAAACCAGCAGGAGCAAUUGGGAUAGCAUACGCAGCUCCUGCGUCUCAUCCUGGCGAGAGGUUCAGCACAAGAUGCAGUUCCGAGUGAGUUGCCAGAGGAGAUAUCUUUCCCCCUCAAAACUGUGGUGGAUUUGGCAGCCUUCAAAGAGCGAAAGUCACAAGCGAAUGCUGCAACAUCCAUUGUAAAAUACUUGGCAGAAUAUGGUGGGAGUGACACAGUGGACACGUUUUCCCGGAUAAUGAAGACGAUGUUGACAACAAAUCUGGCCCGCCAAUACAACCUAAAGGAAACCAAACAAAAAAAGAAACUGGACAGACUCCACUUGAUAAACAUCUUUUUCAGAUGUCAAUAAUUUAACCCAGCAACACACUUUAGAACCGCAAGGAAAUGGAGGGGGCCAUAUAGAAGUGGCUUUCCGAGUCGCGGAGUCGUGAGGUUGGCCGCAAAGAUCGAGCAAGAGUCACCCCGAUGCUUCCUGAGUAGAAUGUUGACUUAUUUACUUACCAUAAAAUUUACGAUUCCACGAACCACGAACAUACGGAUUUACGACUCAGAAUUAAACCAGCAAAACUUGUCAGACUAUUUUUCAAAUUGAUAAAAUACAAUAUGUAUGCUUCUAUUGUUUUAUCAUAAACACAUUAAUGUCGUGUGACAUGUUAUGUAGUUUGUAUGCAAAAUGUAUCACAAUAAUGUAAUAAUGAGAUAUCUCCAACUUUUCCCCUAAAUUUUCAUAUCAUUAAGGGCUUCAAGAAGAGCAUUUCUUAUCUAUAUUUAUAGGCAAAUCCAUGUUGCUUUUACUUUUUUUGUAUAAACAUAAGACAAACUGUCCAUGACUAAUAAGAGACCCAUCAACAAGACAAAUAUGUUUAGUUCACAUUUGGAUGAUUGUUCUAAAGAAGACUCUUAAUAAGCGAAACCUGUUGACAUUGAAUAAUUAUCAUAAUAUCUCGGAAUGAUGUCAGUUUUUGUUUUACUUUAAUAUUUUCUUAUCCUGGGUACACCAUUUUAAACUUUGAUACACUCAAAAUAAACUUAUUUUAAGAUGAAGCAAGGAAUUUGGCUGAAUGAAAUAAGCUACUUACGGGUGUUACGCUUAAGAACUUUCGAGAAAUUGGGGCCAGAUGACUUUAAUUAUAUCAACCCCUUUAUUUCCCUGGCGAUAACAGUGAUCCCAGAUUUGUAUAUGGUAGAUACAUUUUUUAACCUAUGGAUUGAGCGUGUAUAUAUUAAUAAAUUCUUCUUGAUAUACAACAAUGAAUCAGGUCUAAAUGAUAUAAUUUUAUUAUGUAAAUAUUUGUUAUAACUUAUAUGCUGUUGCUCUACUUUUGUUUCAUAUGUAUUUUGUAAUGUAACUCAACAUACAUGGAGGAAAUAAGGAUAUAUAUAUAUAUAUGUUUUAACAUUCAGUCAUGUCAGUUCACUAGUCAGUAUUACAAGGUGCAUUAAUUGUGUUAGUCAAUAGCUCUGGUUUGUGUUUAAUUUUUUCUCCUUUUAAAUUCUUUUUUAUUUUGCAUGUAUGAUUUUUGUGAUUGAAUCCACUGUACCAAUGAACUUGAAACUGUUAUUUCAUUUCUGGUUUGAAACGCUGCUUUAUGUCUAAGCAAUAUUGUUAUACUUGAAUGUAUAGAUGCACUCCAUGCUCUGUUUAUUAGAAUUGUGCGUCUUUCGAUUAGUGUAUUUUUUUUAAACACAUUCGUUAAAGCAUUCGGAGCUCCGCGGCCAUUUUUAUCGAAAACAACCUUAGAUGUAUGCUGGUACAUCAGUUAAAUUUCUUAAUUAUAUCAUUAAUUAAAUGUAGGGUUUUAGAAUUGUUUUUAUUGAUAUAAGUUUAAAUUGAUUGCCAGUGAAGUGUAAUAUUGCAAACAUAAUUAAGAUUCCCAAGAGUUAAGUCAUAAAGUUUAACUGCUAAAAAAAUUACUUUGCAGCGGACUUAAACGUACCGCUUUUUGAGUAUGUAAACCGUCCAAAUACAUCAGAGGUUGUUUUUGA